CUUUCCUUUUUAUUUCAUCUUCUCUGUUCUUCCUCUCCUUCUCUUUCUGUCGAUCUCAAUUCGAAGAGUUUAGUUGUUAUCGUGUGAGAAUCGCUUAGGAACUUGUCAGCAAGAUGAAUCGAAGGUGAAGAUGUUGAUUCCGUGGUCGAAUUAGAUCGGAGGAGAAGAACUGGUUGCUGCUGUAAUUCAAAGUUAGAGUUUUAAGAUUGAAUUCGAGUUCUUAGGUAAAUUGAUAGGAUAAUUGAGUUUCUGAUAGAUGAAGAAUAAAGAGGUUAUCGGUUAAUUGAUGAAGUGGUGUUGAUUUGAUUAAGGUUUGGGGAGUUAGGGUUUCUGUUCUUCCCAAAAAUGGUUUUAGGAUUUCAGUAGAAUUGGAUUAGGGGAAAGGCAAUUCAGUGGAUGAUGAUAUUUGGUUACUCUUUAUUAACACCGAUCGAUUCGAACGAUGAACCGGUGGAUUGAGGAUCUCAAGGUAGGAGAGGCUUGUCAUCAUUUCAGGUGGGAACUCUGAAACCUUCUUGUAAUCAUUAAGUUCCUUUUCUUAUGCGAGCAUGAUGAGUCAUUACUUCUUAUGAGCAUAUUUGUGUGUAAAUGAUUGGGUAUGUUGUGUAAUAUGCGUUUUGUGGAUUCUCCAAAUGUUAUAUCUAUUUUUAUACUUAUUAUAGCCCAGAUGAGUCAAUAUCGUUAUAUAGGGGAAUAUUACCUUUUACAAUUUCUUGUGAGAAUCCAUUCGUUUGCAUAUUAUGCUUGAUUGCAAAACCUUCGGGACUUAUGAUGAUAGAUUCUUGAAUCAUGGUGUGGAUGGGCACAUCGUGUGGAUGGGCUAUUAUUGGAGUCUGGAGUUAUUCUGCUUUCGCUUUCUCCAAUGAGUUUGGCGAGGUCUGAGUGACAUAUUUUAGUUGUUCUUGUUUCACUUUUGUAGAUUCAUCCGGUGGUGGUCUUUCACGGAUAUUGCCACUAUGGACACAAUAUCUGAGGAAGUGGAACUAGAAUAACAUUCUUUCAUGAAUGAUAUAUGAUACGAUGCUUGUUAUUUGUUGAAUGAAUAAUUUGAUGUGUGUUUGAGUGAAAUCCCCGCGAGGAGUGACUUUGGUCUCCCCACAACUCCUUGCUAAGUCUUAUAGCCCAGAUGAGGCAAUAUAUAGCACGGGAAGUGCAUAUAAUAACUAUCUAGCGCGUAAAGCGAAAUAUUACUUUUUAUUUUAUAAUCUAAUUUAUGUCGUUAAGACCCAGAUGAGGAAAUAUUAUAUCGAGGUAUUUGGGGAAAUCAUUCUUAUGUAUAUUAUGCACGAUGACAUGUUUUAUUACUGUUCUUUAGAACUGCAAAGCAUAUUAGUGAUUACUUGAAAGUUAUAUGUUUCCAUUGGGCACCCCUUUGGGAUGAUGUGCUCACUCGUUCCCACUUCAGUUUUUAGUUUCACGAAGGAAUGGUGCACGUGAAGAUAUUCGUUUUCUUAGCUUAAAGUUUUUUAACGAACUGAAGAUGUUUGUUUAUCUUUUAUGUAUGUAUUCUUUCUUUCUUUGUAAAACAACACAUUAUUUUAUUCAUAUCACUUGAGAAA
Molecule: long non-coding RNA, 1559 nt
Organism: Papaver somniferum (opium poppy)
Lineage: Eukaryota; Viridiplantae; Streptophyta; Magnoliopsida; Ranunculales; Papaveraceae
Exons: 2
Source: RefSeq, a predicted model, not a curated record